AUGCAAGUCGAGGGGUAACGGAAGUAGCUUGCUACUAGACGACGACCGGCGCACGGGUGAGUAACGCGUAUGUAAUCUGCCUUGUACAGAGGGAUAGCCCAGAGAAAUUUGGAUUAAUACCUCAUAGUAUUACUGAAUCGCAUGAUUCGGUAAUUAAAGCUCCGGCGGUACAAGAUGAACAUGCGUGACAUUAGCUAGUUGGUAAGGUAACGGCUUACCAAGGCAACGAUGUCUAGGGGUUCUGAGAGGAUGAUCCCCCACACUGGUACUGAGACACGGACCAGACUCCUACGGGAGGCAGCAGUGAGGAAUAUUGGUCAAUGGACGCAAGUCUGAACCAGCCAUCCCGCGUGGAGGAUGACUGCCCUAUGGGUUGUAAACUUCUUUUAUAUGCAAAUAAACCUACUUUCGUGAAAGUAGCUGAAGGUAGCAUAUGAAUAAACACCGGCUAACUCCGUGCCAGCAGCCGCGGUAAUACGGAGGGUGUAAGCGUNAUCCGGAUUUAUUGGGU
This 511-nucleotide ribosomal RNA is filed under the name uncultured bacterium. Its description in RNAcentral is "bacterial SSU rRNA". It matches the Rfam family "Bacterial small subunit ribosomal RNA", at positions 55 to 559 of the family's 1533-position model. The record is from RNAcentral.